AAAUAGAUACCCUGGUAGUCCACGCCGUAAACGAUGAGUGCUAAGUGUUAGAGGGUUUCCGCCCUUUAGUGCUGCAGCUAACGCAUUAAGCACUCCGCCUGGGGAGUACGGCCGCAAGGCUGAAACUCAAAGGAAUUGACGGGGGCCCGCACAAGCGGUGGAGCAUGUGGUUUAAUUCGAAGCAACGCGAAGAACCUUACCAGGUCUUGACAUCCUCUGCCAACCCUAGAGAUAGGGCGUUCCCCUUCGGGGGACAGAGUGACAGGUGGUGCAUGGUUGUCGUCAGCUCGUGCCGUGAGAUGUUGGGUUAAGUCCCGCAACGAGCGCAACCCUUGAUCUUAGUUGCCAGCAUUCAGUUGGGCACUCUAAGGUGACUGCCGGUGACAAACCGGAGGAAGGUGGGGAUGACGUCAAAUCAUCAUGCCCCUUAUGACCUGGGCUACACACGUGCUACAAUGGAUGGUACAAAGAGCUGCGAACCCGCGAGGGUAAGCCAAUCUCAUAAAGCCAUUCUCAGUUCGGAUUGUAGG
Molecule: ribosomal RNA, 530 nt
Filed under: uncultured bacterium
Lineage: Bacteria
Description: bacterial SSU rRNA
Rfam family: Bacterial small subunit ribosomal RNA
Source: RNAcentral